GCUCAAUUCACAACAGCACAUACUAAAAUUAGAACAACACAAAGAAGAUUAGCAUGGCUUCUGUGCAAGGAUGACACACAAAUUUAUCAAGUGUGUCAUACUUUG
Molecule: small nuclear RNA, 105 nt
Organism: Mustela putorius furo (domestic ferret)
Lineage: Eukaryota; Metazoa; Chordata; Mammalia; Carnivora; Mustelidae
Source: Ensembl